GCCUCCGUAGCUCAGUUGGUUAGAGCACCACCUUGACAUGGUGGGGGUCGGUGGUUCGAGUCCACUCGGACGCACCA
This 77-nucleotide transfer RNA is filed under the name Klebsiella aerogenes. RNAcentral describes it as "tRNA-Val". It matches the Rfam family "tRNA". From Rfam's summary of the family: Transfer RNA (tRNA) molecules are approximately 80 nucleotides in length. Their secondary structure includes four short double-helical elements and three loops (D, anti-codon, and T loops). Further hydrogen bonds mediate the characteristic L-shaped molecular structure. tRNAs have two regions of fundamental functional importance: the anti-codon, which is responsible for specific mRNA codon recognition, and the 3' end, to which the tRNAs corresponding amino acid is attached (by aminoacyl-tRNA synthetases). tRNAs cope with the degeneracy of the genetic code in two manners: having more than one tRNA (with a specific anti-codon) for a particular amino acid; and 'wobble' base-pairing, i.e. permitting non-standard base-pairing at the 3rd anti-codon position. Lineage: Bacteria; Pseudomonadati; Pseudomonadota; Gammaproteobacteria; Enterobacterales; Enterobacteriaceae. The record is from RNAcentral.